AUCACGUGAUGAUCUAAACGGAAUCAAUAUGGCGACGACCGUGCCGAAACAGCAUUCUCCAGAAUAACAUAUGCUGAAUGAAUGCCAAAGGAAAGAACCUUUUACAGACUUAAGCGACCACGCUUUCGAUUUGUCUGGAAGGAGGCGACUGCCAGGUCGGAAGUAGGUUGGCCACGUCGCCAUGGAAAGAAAUUAUGUACAGAAAGGGGCGCUUAAGGUGCGUUGGGAAAAUGCACGAACAAACUACAGCAAAAUGCUACCAACCAAACGAAUCGGCGUUGAGUAGCAACGUGCUGGACAGUAUACUUUUUAAUUCUGAUUGAAAGUCUUGAUAAUUAGGUUGGCCUAUUACUUAUAUAUAUCUUGCAUGUUAUAUUUAAAAUUUGAUUUUAAAAUCAAUUUGAUCGAUCUUUAUUUUAUUUGAACAUAUAAAUUUGAGGUUUUGUUUAAUAAAAAGCUAUUGGUGUAAUGUAUAGCUUGCAUGUCAAACGAAUAUUUGAUGCGUGCAUAUGCUUUAUCUAUGACAUAUACCUGUUUAUUAAGGAGUAAACAAUACUUAAGGGCUGUUUAUUAAUUUGACUGUUCAUAGCGCUCGCCUGAUUUUAAGCAACUCUGUACAAAACAUUCUGGUGUUUUCCGGUUGCUCUUUCCAAUGUUUUUUUGCAAGGAGAUAUGAACAAAGCCUAGUUAAAUAUAACCGUACUACUACCAAAAGUAUUUGUUAGAAAUAUGCAACACUAUGUAUCAAUUCGUCACCAGGAAACAAAGACUUAUUUGAAUUUUGACAUGUUUGCUCUUUUUUAAACUUGUUGUAAAGUGUAUAAAUACCUAGAACAGCGACUGAUGAGAACACGUGUAUUUUUUAAAUGUUUAAUAAAGUACCUUGUUUUUCGUA
This is a long non-coding RNA of Dreissena polymorpha, 895 nucleotides long. RefSeq lists it as uncharacterized. The record is from RefSeq and is a predicted model, not a curated record. Lineage: Eukaryota; Metazoa; Mollusca; Bivalvia; Myida; Dreissenidae. The transcript is spliced from 3 exons.